CUCUCAUCUUCUCUCAAACCACCUUCCAAAACUUACAGAAACCCUAAUCUCCUAGCCUCCUUCUUCGUUCUUCCAUAGCAAAUCAAAUGGUACGUGGGAUUUCUGUUUUCACAGCGAUCAAAAAACCCUAAACCUUUAUCUUUCUUCGAGAUUCCUAAAACCUAACAUCUUCAUCUUCAACUGUCAAGCAAUUGCUUCUUAUAUUAUCUAUUAUCUUGAUGUUGAAGUUUAAUCCGUUUAUUGAAUGAUGAUUUUGAGUUUUCAUCACUUUUGGGAAGCAAGAAGGUUAUAUUCUUAUUCUUUUAUUCGUUUUUUUUUCUAUCUAUAAUGUUGGAUUGGUGGUUGGAUAGCAUAAAAGGGAUGAGUUAGUCAGAAAUGGUAUGUGUUUUUAUUUCUUCUUCGAUUCCUUUUUUCUAGAUCUACCAAGUGAAACACCAGUGUGAUGGAAAUAUUACAUUAUGGAUUUUUAUUUCGAUUUGACCUAAUUAUAUCAGUGACGAGUGGUGGUGGGUUUAAUUGAACGAUGAUUUUGAGUUUUCAUCAAUUUUCGUUUCUGAUUAUCCAUUAAUUUGGGAUAAAGUUGGGAACUUAUUUCGAAACUGAAUUUUAUUGAUGAAUGGAGAUGUUAGGGUUUAUUUUGGAUUAAUGUUUCAUUUUCUGCUCUGUUCUUGCUCCAUCAGGUUGCUGACUUUCAUCCUCACAAUCUACACACAUUUUUUGUAAAUACCCAAAUUCUUUUUAGGUUGUUGAGGUUAUAUUGUUAAAUGAUAGGGAUCCCUUACAGGUUAAAUCAAUUUUUGUCAAGAAAAUCAGGGGUUUAAUCGAUGAAUAUUAGUAGAUUAAUUGAAGAAUAUUAGUCAUUUAUACUUUCAUAUCUGUUUCAUUAACCAUGUUAAAAUGUCAUAGUUAAACCAUAUGAUCUCAGUUCUUAGGCUGCUAGAAAUUAUUUAACAUUUUAUAUAUGAUUUUGUGUGUGUAUAUAUAUUGUGUCUUUUCUGUUUCGGUGCAACUACUGGGAUGGUCGUUUGACUAGAAAUACAUAGUUAGAGGACUCGUGCUCGACAAAAAAAGGAAAUAUACUGAAGAUGGACAGGCAUAAAUAUGUGAAAGUAGCAUAUCAUGGAUUUCGAUUGAUAUCAAAGAAGGACAUAAUGCGUCAUCCAGUUGAUAUUAGAGAUCAUGACCAUGGUGAGGUACGUGAAUAGGAGGGUGUGGUGUAUGGCAUAGGGAGGAGUUGUAGUUCAUAUGGUUUUCCAUUGUGUUAAAUAGAAGGUGGCUUAGCGAGAGCUUUAGCCUGAAACUGUAUAUACACAUUUUAGGAAGCUGUGUAAACAGAACACUUUGUUUAGCUUUUUUCUAUUAGUAGGAUGCUAUAUGUAAUAUAUUUAUUUUU
Helianthus annuus (common sunflower) is the source of this 1393-nucleotide long non-coding RNA. RefSeq lists it as uncharacterized. The record is from RefSeq and is a predicted model, not a curated record. The transcript has 3 exons. Lineage: Eukaryota; Viridiplantae; Streptophyta; Magnoliopsida; Asterales; Asteraceae.